UACGAAGGGUGCAAACGUUGCUCGGAAUUACUGGGCGUAAAGCGUGCGCAGGCGGUUUUGUAAGCCAGAUGUGAAAUCCCCGGGCUCAACCUGGGAAUGGCAUUUGGGACUGCAAGGCUGGAGUGCGGCAGAGGAGACUGGAAUUCCUGGUGUAGCAGUGAAAUGCGUAGAUAUCAGGAGGAAUACCGAUGGCGAAGGCAGGUCUCUGGGCUGACACUGACGCUCAUGCACGAAAGCGUGGGGAGCAAACAGG
RNAcentral lists this ribosomal RNA (253 nucleotides) under uncultured bacterium. RNAcentral's name for it is "partial 16S ribosomal RNA". It matches the Rfam family "Bacterial small subunit ribosomal RNA", at positions 524 to 776 of the family's 1533-position model. The record is from RNAcentral.